ACGGGAGGCAGCAGUGGGGGAUAUUGCACAAUGGGGGAAACCCUGAUGCAGCGACGCCGCGUGAGUGAAGAAGUAUUUCGGUAUGUAAAGCUCUAUCAGCAGGGAAGAUAAUGACGGUACCUGACUAAGAAGCUCCGGCUAAAUACGUGCCAGCAGCCGCGGUAAUACGUAUGGAGCAAGCGUUAUCCGGAUUUACUGGGUGUAAAGGGAGCGCAGGCGGCAGGCCAAGUCAGAUGUGAAAACCCGGGGCUCAACCCCGGGACUGCAUUUGAAACUGGUCAGCUAGAGUGCGGGAGAGGCAAGUGGAAUUCCUAGUGUAGCGGUGAAAUGCGUAGAUAUUAGGAGGAACACCAGUGGCGAAGGCGGCUUGCUGGACCGUAACUGACGCUGAGGCUCGAAAGCGUGGGGAGCAAACAGGAUUAGAUACCCUGGUA
This 434-nucleotide ribosomal RNA is filed under the name uncultured bacterium. RNAcentral's name for it is "partial 16S ribosomal RNA". It matches the Rfam family "Bacterial small subunit ribosomal RNA", at positions 341 to 792 of the family's 1533-position model. The record is from RNAcentral. RNAcentral also lists the same sequence under 1 other name.